AUGGGCCGCCGGAUCGACCUCUCCGGCGCGGAGAUCCGCGCCGACCCCGGCGACGGCAGCCCGCCCAUCUUCCUCCCCCGCCAGCCCGCCGCCUCCCCGCUCCUCGCCCUCGACAUCGGAGGGACCCUGAUAAAGCUGGUGUACACGGCGAGCUGCGGCGCCGAGGCGGAGCUGCGGUUCGCCAAGUUCGAGAGGCGGAGGCUGGACGACUGCUUCGACUUCGUCCGGGCCCAAGGCCUCCUCGGCUGCAACGGGACAACGACAGGGCCAAGCAAAGAAAAUAUGACACUGAAGGCAACAGGUGGUGGAUCAUAUAAAUUUGGUGAUGAUUUUCGGCAAAAAUUAGGUGUUAGUCUUGACAAGCUUGAUGAAAUGGACAGUGUUGUCUCUGGAGCAAACUUUUUGUUACAGAAUGUUCCUGGCGCAGCCUUCACACACAUGAGUGGAAAGAGGAACUCGAUUGAUAUUUCCCCAGAUAACUUGUUUCCUUACCUUCUUGUGAACAUUGGCUCAGGAGUUAGCAUAUUAAAGGUCACUGGAAAUAGAAAAUUUGAAAGGGUAACUGGGACACAUAUUGGUGGCGGUACUAUGUUUGGGUUAGCAAAACUAUUAACAGGCUGCAAGAGUUAUGAUGAAUUCCUGCAAUUAAGCCAGAAAGGGGACAAUUUUGUACUUGAUCUAGUUGUGAAGGAUAUAUGCGGGGAGCUUGCCUGCCAGAAGCAAGGACUGUCAACUUCGACUCUUGCUUCUAGCUUUGGAAAAGUUAUUACUUCUAUGAAAAAGCUAGCAGAUUACAAGCCUGAAGACCUUGCAUCCGCAUUGUUGAGUGCCUUUACUUACAAUAUUGCACAAAUUUCUUUUCUUGUUGCAUCACUCUUGGGCCUCAGAAGGGUCUUUUUUGGUGGAUCAUACAUACGUGGACACAAGAGCACAAUGGAUAAUAUUUCUUAUGCACUAGACUUCUGGUCAGAGAGUCAAAUGCAAGCUUCAUUCUUGCAACAUGAAGGGUAUUUAGGUGCUCUUGGUGCCUUGAUGAGUUACGGGGAUCCCAGAGAUGAAAACUUGAACCUCGAGGAAUCUCAAGAGGAGAACAGUCAUGAGGCAGCAGGUCCUACUGAUGUGACAUCAGCAGACGAACAUAACGAUAGCAACAUAUUUCCUUAUCUCCUUGUUAAUAUUGGAUCUGGUGUCAGCAUGAUAGAGGUAAUUGGUAAGGGGAAGUUUGAGCGAAUUAUCGGAUCACAUCUGGGUGGUGGUACUAUCCUUGGUCUUGCAAGGCUUUUAACUGGCUGUUCAAGUUAUGAGGAAUUCUUGGAUUUGAGCCGGAGGGGUGAUAAUUUGGCUGUAGAUUUGACUGUUGGAGACAUUUAUGGGGAGCGUGGUUAUCCAAAGAUUGGUCUUCCAGCUUCCACUACUGCAGCAAGCUUUGGAAAAGUGAACUCGGGCAAACUUUCAGAGUACAAAGCAGAAGAUCUCGCAGCAGCUCUACUCAACUCUUUCACAUACAACAUUGGACAGAUAGCCUACUUUGUGGCUAAUCUAUCAGGCCUAAAGAGAAUCUUCUUUCGAGGUGCUUAUGUCUGUGGUCAUGAGAAGACUAUGGACAAGAUUUCUCGUUCCCUCAAGUACUGGUCCAAAGGUGAAGUUCAAACGACAUUUCUGUGUCACGAAGGGUUCUUGGGAACCUUAGGUGCAUUCUGGAGUUAUGAGAACAUGGGCAUUGAUGGCUUGGCAUCACAUGAAGUCAUUAGGGAAGUCUUGCUUGGUGCUCCGUACACCGGACAGUUCCCAUCUUCACCAUUGACUCCAGAGCAGGAAAAUGGGGGAAAUGUAAACGCUGAAGUUGAGGUGGAGAGGCUGCGGCGUGACAACGCGGUUCUGAAGUCCGAGCUUGAACGGUUACAAAGGGAGAAUGCAGAGCUGAAAGCCAAGUUAGUGAAAUCCGAUGAAGCGGCUACUUUGUAA
This 1965-nucleotide ribosomal RNA is filed under the name Triticum aestivum (bread wheat). Its description in RNAcentral is "partial small subunit ribosomal RNA". Lineage: Eukaryota; Viridiplantae; Streptophyta; Magnoliopsida; Poales; Poaceae. The record is from RNAcentral.